GACGUAGGGGGCGAGCGUUGUCCGGAUUCAUUGGGCGUAAAGCGCGCGCAGGCGGCCCGGUAAGUCGGAUGUGAAAUCUCACGGCUCAACCGUGAAACUGCAUUCGAUACUGUCGGGCUAGAGGCAGGUAGGGGAGAUCGGAAUUCCUGGUGUAGCGGUGAAAUGCGCAGAUAUCAGGAGGAACACCGGUGGCGAAGGCGGGUCUCUGGGCCGAUACUGACGCUGAGGAGCGAAAGCGUGGGGAGCAAACAGG
RNAcentral lists this ribosomal RNA (253 nucleotides) under uncultured bacterium. Its description in RNAcentral is "partial 16S ribosomal RNA". It matches the Rfam family "Bacterial small subunit ribosomal RNA", at positions 524 to 776 of the family's 1533-position model. The record is from RNAcentral.